This is an RNA transcript of Cyprinus carpio (common carp), 2782 nucleotides long. It is a transcript of the gene named mevalonate kinase, with no coding region annotated. The record is from RefSeq and is a predicted model, not a curated record. NCBI's taxonomy places the organism in Eukaryota, Metazoa, Chordata, Actinopteri, Cypriniformes, Cyprinidae. The transcript has 12 exons.
UACACGUGUAUGGCAGCGCGCAAGCAGACGCGAUGAGUUUGACGCUUUACAACAGGAGCUCUCGAUUAUUUGGCAAAACUGUUAUUUUUAAGUGUAGUGCGCUGAGUGUAUCUUGGUGUAUGAAUUGAAAUAUGAGAUUUUAGCAAGGCGUUAUUGCUUUGGUCAGCAUACACUGGUGCAAUUUCUCGAAAAUAUCUUACAAAUCUAAGAUGCAAACGCUAGAGUUUUUCGUUUCUGCUCCAGGGAAGGUGAUUCUGCACGGUGAGCAUUCUGUCGUGCAUGGACAGGUUGCUUUGGCUGUGAGUUUGAACCUGCGCACGUUCCUGCAGCUGCAGUCCACAUCAUCCGGUGAAGUGCACAUCAACCUCCCCAAUAUUGACACUUUUCUGUCCUGGGAAAUAACUGCACUGCAGUCUCUUCUGGCAGGGUGUAAAGCAGAGCAGGGUGGCCUGAAGGAACUAGAUGCAGAUCUUUUGAAGAGACUACGUGAAUUCACCAGGAUUUCAGAGGAUUCCACAGACACAAGAAGCAUGGCAGUCUUGGCCUUCCUCUAUAUGUACCUGUCUGUUUUUGCAGAGUCUCUGGCCAGUAUCACGGUGUCCGUGUGGUCAGAGUUGCCCACAGGAGCAGGUUUAGGCUCUAGUGCUGCCUAUAAUGUUUGCCUGUCUGCCGCUCUGCUGUCUGCUAGAGGAAACAUAUCAAAUCCUCUUACACCACAGCAGGAGUCAGCCAGGUGGAGUAAAGAGGAGAUGGAGCUGAUUAACAGGUGGGCGUUCAUGGGUGAGAAGAUCAUCCACGGUAACCCUUCAGGGGUGGACAACGCUGUGGGCACAUGGGGUGGCUUUUUAAGAUACCAUGCUGGGAAUAUAUCUCCACUAAGCUGGGUCCCCGUUCUGAGAAUCCUUCUCACUAACACCAAAGUCCCACGUAGCACCAAAGUGCUUGUUUCUGGAGUGAAGGACAAAAUUAACAAGUUUCCCUCCGUGUUGAAGCCAGUUCUGGAGUCCGUCAGCGCUGUGUCCUGUGUCUGUGAACAGACUCUCACAGAGAUGGCCGAGCGUGGACCUUCAGCUGAGCACUACAACAUACUGGAGGAGCUGAUUGAUAUAAACCAGCACCAUCUGAACGUGAUGGGUGUGGGUCACUCGUCUCUGGACACACUGUGUAGGGUCACUCUGGCCAGAGGCCUGCAUAGCAAACUGACAGGAGCAGGAGGAGGAGGCUGUGGAAUCACUCUCCUACGACCAGAAACAGAUACUUCAGUUAUUCAGAGCACUGUUGAGGAGCUGAAGGCCUGUGGCUUUGACUGCUGGGAGACCAGCAUCGGAGCUCCUGGAGUCCAGCAGCACUCUUCAGCUGCACUCAGUCAGCACAUACUGAAGAUCCUCAGCAGCUACUGAAACAUAGACGCCAGCACACUACUGUACUGUAUGCAUCAUUGUUGCUGUUAGCACAGAUGCUCAUUGCUGCUGUUACUCUGGAUCCUGGUUCAAUAAAUGGAUCACAUUUCCGACCAGAACUAGCACAGCUUGGAGCAUUUUGGACUGAGUACAGCCGUUGUAUUAUUGUCACUAAACCCAAAGUAAUUACUUUUCAGUUCUUUGCACUUUGUCAGAAUAUUUUGCACCGGAACGGUUUUGAAGCCAAGGAGGGGAUGCUGGGACGCAUUUGGCUGUCGACCAGACGCAGUCUAAGUUGAUCUGUGAAGCGCGGUGAUGAAAUAAACGCUCUGCACUUAGAGCGGAGCACAUUUCCCCACAGUCCCAGGAGAGGGGUGUAAUUUUAGUGGUGUUUUGUGAGGAACAGAUAAAGAGGGCUAUCUUCAGCACACAAGACCUGGAGCUAGAGAAUAGGAAAUGGAUUUGCACUGAGAUGAAUGUGUUCCUGUAAACCAAAGGCCGGCAGAAGGACAGAGCCCCUUAUGCUUGAACAAGUCAACUUUGAGAAGACCCAGGGAGGUCAGAGACACCUUAAAAAGAUGCAUAAUACAGUAUGUGAACUGGGAUGCAUGGUCCGUUUGGAGUAAUUCACUUCCAAUGACGAGUCUGCACUCUGGGCCACAUGAUCAUCAUCCUCACCUUUACUCCCGAGCUUCUAUUGCAUCCUCUGUCUUCUCUGGACUCUCUGGCUGUCUGGGGUGUGACCCUGCAGAAGUCACUGCCCUCUCCCUGACAGUCCAUCACUGCACGGUGCCGCCAAAGCAGGAUUCUACCCGCCGGAGACAGAGUGUGAUUGUGAGCAGUGUAAGAAUGGCCCUGUCACACUCGAUAAGCCGGCAGGACGCCCUGAGAUGGGGACAUAUGGCAUGUUUGACAGGGAAAGAGAGGGUGUGAAUGGCACAGAAUGAUAAAAUGGUGUUUUUUCCCCCUUUGGCAAUGUCAUGCUUUCAGGGAAGAGAAGCGUGCAGAGGGGCUGACCGCUAUUCAGCCAGGCGCAAGACCGACUCAAGCCCUCAACUGACAUCUCCUUCAAGGUCCUGAGGUUCCCUCUCUCCUCUUUUUUUAUAUCUCACUCUUUCUUUCUGUCUUUCUUCUUCUUCUUCUUUCUCUGUCUCCCUGCUGACUGGUGGAUUUGAAUGGCACACAUCACACAAGAUCCCAUCAAACCCUGAAGUCUCUUCAUUGUCACUGGCUGUCAGGUUCAGUUAUUUCAUAUCAAGUUAAUGUUAGAACAAAAAUGGGCUAAAUGAAUAUGAUCAAUGUUAUUCUGCUGUUUUAACCUGCAUAUUUCUCUUGAUAUUGUUGAUAUUGACUAUAUGUCAUAAUUUAACUCUGGGGGAAAA